RNAcentral lists this long non-coding RNA (1203 nucleotides) under Urocitellus parryii (Arctic ground squirrel). Its description in RNAcentral is "lncRNA (ENSUPAG00010020644.1)". Lineage: Eukaryota; Metazoa; Chordata; Mammalia; Rodentia; Sciuridae. The record is from RNAcentral.
AAAAUACCUCCCGGGGCUGGGGGCGGGCGGGGGCACGCCUCUCUGAAGGGCAGCCUACCGUGACCAAUAGCAGGCGGGGCUUUGGUGGGGCGGGAUUCCCAGCGGCCAAUCCGGAGGCGUGUAGGUGAAGGCCGGAGGAGGGAGGCAGAGAACGAGAAGGGGGCGGCCCGGGAGCCUGGGAGGUCCGGCCGCUCGGGUGCGCGCUGUGCGCGGCCUCCAUUUUGGAGUCGGGCAGCUGCGACGGAGGCCGGGUCCGGCCAGGGAAAGGAAGGAGCCAGUCAGCCAAUUUUGAACUCAGAGCCUUCUGAGACAAGUUCAGCUCAUUAAAAGCAACUGAAAUGAAGCAAAGUGACUCRGCUCAACCUGCAUUGGAUUAGAUGGCUCCAUAUGAAGUAGCCUAUUAUCAGCCAUGUUUGGCUUCCAGAGAGGAUAAUCAUAGUGGAAACUGCAUUGCUGUCAGCAUGGUUUGGUGGAAAGAACAUGGAGAUCAGAUUCUGGAGUUCUGAAUUCAAAUCUCAACAGCACAAAACUGUGGGAAAGCCAUUUUCCCUCCCCGUAUCUUACUUUCUGAUUCAAUAAUAUUAAACUUGCAUAGUAUGUAAGGUGCAUGAAACAGCUUCUGCCUUCUUUGGGCUCACAGUUUACUUGAUAUAAAAGUCAUCUGGAAAACACUACUAUUCAAGGCAGAGCAUGAGGGUGCCACAGUUGCCUUUUUCUUUUUUAUUAAAUGGCAUUCUUUUUUUUUUUUUAAAGAGAGAGUGAGAAAGAGGGAGAGAAUUUUAAUAUUUAUUUUUUAGUAUUUGGCGGACACAACAUCUUUGUUUGUAUGUGGUGCUGAGGAUUGAACCCGGGCCGCACACAUGCCAGGCGAGCAUGCUACCGCUUGAGCCAUAUCCCCAGCCCUUAAACGGCAUUCUGAGCAAGAGAAAUUACUGCCUGUUGCAAUAAUCCAGAAGGCAAUAUACAAGAGAGGACAGUUGAGCUUGGGAUUAAAGAAUGAUUAAAUUUCAUUAAGCAGAGAAUUGGGGGAGGGCAGUUCAGCAGUUUAAGCAAGUAACAGGGUAGGAGCAAAGGUGCAGAGCUGGAAAACACAAUGCUAUUUUGGUAUGGUUGGACAGAUGGCUCAUGUGGGCGGCUGUGGGAGAUAAGACUAGAAGCCUGAUUUCCCAUGGCAUGUAGUAGGCAUUUUAAAGUUUAGUUUCU